UGGGAUAGAAAGGAGCUGUGGUUGGCC
RNAcentral lists this non-coding RNA (27 nucleotides) under Mus musculus (house mouse). Lineage: Eukaryota; Metazoa; Chordata; Mammalia; Rodentia; Muridae. The record is from RNAcentral.